This 465-nucleotide ribosomal RNA is filed under the name Vreelandella stevensii. RNAcentral's name for it is "partial 16S ribosomal RNA". It matches the Rfam family "Bacterial small subunit ribosomal RNA", at positions 338 to 795 of the family's 1533-position model. Lineage: Bacteria; Pseudomonadati; Pseudomonadota; Gammaproteobacteria; Oceanospirillales; Halomonadaceae. The record is from RNAcentral.
CCUACGGGAGGCUGCAGUGGGGAAUAUUGGACAAUGGGCGAAAGCCUGAUCCAGCCAUGCCGCGUGUGUGAAGAAGGCCUUCGGGUUGUAAAGCACUUUCAGUGGGGAAGAAAGCCUUGGGGCUAAUACCCUCGAGGAAGGACAUUACCCACAGAAGAAGCACCGGCUAACUCCGUGCCAGCAGCCGCGGUAAUACGGAGGGUGCGAGCGUUAAUCGGAAUUACUGGGCGUAAAGCGCGCGUAGGCGGUCUGAUAAGCCGGUUGUGAAAGCCCCGGGCUCAACCUGGGAACGGCAUCCGGAACUGUCAGGCUAGAGUGCAGGAGAGGAAGGUAGAAUUCCCGGUGUAGCGGUGAAAUGCGUAGAGAUCGGGAGGAAUACCAGUGGCGAAGGCGGCCUUCUGGACUGACACUGACGCUGAGGUGCGAAAGCGUGGGUAGCAAACAGGAUUAGAUACCCGAGUAGUC